AUUGAACGCUGGCGGCAGGCCUAACACAUGCAAGUCGAGCGGAUGAAGGGAGCUUGCUCCUGGAUUCAGCGGCGGACGGGUGAGUAAUGCCUAGGAAUCUGCCUGGUAGUGGGGGAUAACGUCCGGAAACGGGCGCUAAUACCGCAUACGUCCUGAGGGAGAAAGUGGGGGAUCUUCGGACCUCACGCUAUCAGAUGAGCCUAGGUCGGAUUAGCUAGUUGGUGGGGUAAAGGCCUACCAAGGCGACGAUCCGUAACUGGUCUGAGAGGAUGAUCAGUCACACUGGAACUGAGACACGGACCAGACUCCUACGGGAGGCAGCAGUGGGGAAUAUUGGACAAUGGGCGGAAGCCUGAUCCAGCCAUGCCGCGUGUGUGAAGAAGGUCUUCGGAUUGUAAAGCACUUUAAGUUGGGAGGAAGGGCAGUAAGUUAAUACCUUGCUGUUUUGACGUUACCAACAGAAUAAGCACCGGCUAACUUCGUG
This 484-nucleotide ribosomal RNA is filed under the name uncultured bacterium. Its description in RNAcentral is "partial 16S ribosomal RNA". It matches the Rfam family "Bacterial small subunit ribosomal RNA", at positions 30 to 507 of the family's 1533-position model. The record is from RNAcentral.